RNAcentral lists this ribosomal RNA (329 nucleotides) under uncultured bacterium. Its description in RNAcentral is "bacterial SSU rRNA". It matches the Rfam family "Bacterial small subunit ribosomal RNA", at positions 568 to 898 of the family's 1533-position model. The record is from RNAcentral.
CGCGUAGGUGGUAGUGUAAGUCUGAGGUGGAAUCCUAUGGCUUAACCAUAGAACUGCCUUGGAUACUGUAUUACUUGAGUCAGUGAGGGGAGGGUAGAAUUCCUGGUGUAGCGGUGAAAUGCGUAGAUAUCAGGAGGAAGGCCUGUGGCGAAGGCGGCCCUCUGGCGCUGGACUGACACUGAGGCGCGAAAGCGUGGGGAGCAAACAGGAUUAGAUACCCUGGUAGUCCACGCCCUAAACGGUGGGCACUAGGUGUAGGGCUCGUAAGGGUUCUGUGCCGAAGGAAACCAUUAAGUGCCCCGCCUGGGGAGUACGGCCGCAAGGUUGAA